This 497-nucleotide ribosomal RNA is filed under the name uncultured bacterium. Its description in RNAcentral is "partial 16S ribosomal RNA". It matches the Rfam family "Bacterial small subunit ribosomal RNA", at positions 28 to 507 of the family's 1533-position model. The record is from RNAcentral.
GAUGAACGCUGGCGGCGUGCCUAAUACAUGCAAGCCGAGCGAACGGACGAGAAGCUUGCUUCUCUGAUGUUAGCGGCGGACGGGUGAGUAACACGUGGAUAACCUACCUAUAAGACUGGGAUAACUUCGGGAAACCGGAGCUAAUACCGGAUGAUAUUUUGAACCGCAUGGUUCAAAAGUGAAAGACGGUCUUGCUGUCACUUAUAGAUGGAUCCGCGCUGCAUUAGCUAGUUGGUAAGGUAACGGCUUACCAAGGCAACGAUGCAUAGCCGACCUGAGAGGAUGAUCGGCCACACUGGAACUGAGACACGGUCCAGACUCCUACGGGAGGCAGCAGUAGGGAAUCUUCCGCAAUGGGCGAAAGCCUGACGGAGCAACGCCGCGUGAGUGAUGAAGGUCUUCGGAUCGUAAAACUCUGUUAUUAGGGAAGAACAUAUGUGUAAGUAACUGUGCACAUCUUGACGGUACCUAAUCAGAAAGCCACGGCUAACUACGUG